This 253-nucleotide ribosomal RNA is filed under the name uncultured bacterium. Its description in RNAcentral is "partial 16S ribosomal RNA". It matches the Rfam family "Bacterial small subunit ribosomal RNA", at positions 524 to 776 of the family's 1533-position model. The record is from RNAcentral.
GACGAACCGAGCGAACGUUAUUCGGAAUCACUGGGCUUAAAGGGCGCGUAGGCGGGCCAUCAAGUCAGGGGUGAAAGCCCCCAGCUCAACUGGGGAAGUGCCUUUGAUACUGAUGGCCUCGAGGGAGGUAGGGGCGUGCGGAACUUCCGGUGGAGCGGUGAAAUGCGUAGAUAUCGGAAGGAACACCGGUGGCGAAAGCGGCGCGCUGGACCUCUUCUGACGCUGAGGCGCGAAAGCCAGGGGAGCAAACGGG